CAGCAGCCGCGGUAAUACGAAGGGGGCUAGCGUUGCUCGGAAUGACUGGGCGUAAAGGGCGCGUAGGCGGUUUAUACAGUCAGAUGUGAAAUUCCUGGGCUCAACCUGGGGACUGCAUUUGAUACGUAUGGACUUGAGUGGAGAAGAGGGUCGUGGAAUUUCCAGUGUAGAGGUGAAAUUCGUAGAGAUGUGGAGGAACACCAGUGGCGAAGGCGACUCUCUGGUCUGUAACUGACGCUGAGGAGCGAAAGCGUGGGGAGCGAACAGGAUUAGAUACCCCCGUAGUCCCUGUCUCUUAUAC
Molecule: ribosomal RNA, 301 nt
Filed under: uncultured bacterium
Lineage: Bacteria
Description: partial 16S ribosomal RNA
Rfam family: Bacterial small subunit ribosomal RNA
Source: RNAcentral